Molecule: transfer RNA, 71 nt
Filed under: Pennahia aneus (bigeye croaker)
Lineage: Eukaryota; Metazoa; Chordata; Actinopteri; Sciaenidae
Description: tRNA-Ala
Rfam family: tRNA
About the family: Transfer RNA (tRNA) molecules are approximately 80 nucleotides in length. Their secondary structure includes four short double-helical elements and three loops (D, anti-codon, and T loops). Further hydrogen bonds mediate the characteristic L-shaped molecular structure. tRNAs have two regions of fundamental functional importance: the anti-codon, which is responsible for specific mRNA codon recognition, and the 3' end, to which the tRNAs corresponding amino acid is attached (by aminoacyl-tRNA synthetases). tRNAs cope with the degeneracy of the genetic code in two manners: having more than one tRNA (with a specific anti-codon) for a particular amino acid; and 'wobble' base-pairing, i.e. permitting non-standard base-pairing at the 3rd anti-codon position.
Source: RNAcentral
GAAACCUUAGCUUAAAGUAAAGUUUCUGCGUUGCAUGCAGAGGAUGUGGGUUAGCAAUUCCACAGGUUUUA